AGAAAGUUUGAUAGGCUACACAGCAAAUUAUCAAUAAUUCAAUAUUAACCCUGUACACUUCAGUAGAUUUUUGUCUUGACUCCACCAAAUUCACAAAAAAUAAGAAUAUGGCACAAGUAUGUAUUUGUAACGAGAACAGCCUUCAUAGUUGGAUGUUACAGAAUCUAAAGCAUCAUGGGUGAUUUUGUUCUUCGUACUCCA
This 201-nucleotide long non-coding RNA is filed under the name Mytilus galloprovincialis (Mediterranean mussel). The record is from RNAcentral. Lineage: Eukaryota; Metazoa; Mollusca; Bivalvia; Mytilida; Mytilidae.